GGGGGGGGGGCAAGCGUUGUUCGGGAAUUACUGGGGCGUAAAGGGCGCGCAGGCGGCCUGGCCAGUCCUACGUGAAAUCCCACAGCUCAACUGUGGAACUGCGUGGGAUACUGCCAGGCUUGAGUCCGGGAGAGGAGAGUGGAAUUCCCAGUGUAGCGGUGAAAUGCGUAGAUAUUGGGAGGAACACCGGUGGCGAAGGCGGCUCUCUGGACCGGCACUGACGCUGAGGCGCGAAAGCUAGGGGAGCAAACGGGAUUAGAUACCCCGGUAGUCCUAGCCCUAAACGAUGAGCACUUGGUGUGGCGGGUAUCGACCCCUGCCGUGCCGAAGCUAACGCAUUAAGUGCUCCGCCUGGGGAGUACGGUCGCAAAGGCUG
Molecule: ribosomal RNA, 376 nt
Filed under: uncultured organism
Description: partial 16S ribosomal RNA
Rfam family: Bacterial small subunit ribosomal RNA
Source: RNAcentral